AUUGAACGCUGGCGGCAUGCCUUACACAUGCAAAUCGAACGGUAACGGGCCUUCGGGUGCCGACGAGUGGCGAACGGGUGAGUAAUACAUCGGAACGUGCCCGAUCGUGGGGGAUAACGAGGCGAAAGCUUUGCUAAUACCGCAUACGAUCUACGGAUGAAAGCAGGGGACCGCAAGGCCUUGCGCGGACGGAGCGGCCGAUGGCAGAUUAGGUAGUUGGUGGGAUAAAAGCUUACCAAGCCGACGAUCUGUAGCUGGUCUGAGAGGAUGAUCAGCCACACUGGAACUGAGACACGGCCCAGACUCCUACGGGAGGCAGCAGUGGGGAAUUUUGGACAAUGGGCGCAAGCCUGAUCCAGCCAUGCCGCGUGCAGGAUGAAGGCCUUCGGGUUGUAAACUGAUUUUGUACGGAACGAAAAGCCUUCUUUUAAUACAGGAGGGUCAUGACGGUACCGUAAGAAUAAGCACCGGCUAACUACGUG
RNAcentral lists this ribosomal RNA (482 nucleotides) under uncultured bacterium. RNAcentral's name for it is "partial 16S ribosomal RNA". It matches the Rfam family "Bacterial small subunit ribosomal RNA", at positions 30 to 507 of the family's 1533-position model. The record is from RNAcentral.